RNAcentral lists this ribosomal RNA (177 nucleotides) under Procambarus clarkii (red swamp crayfish). Its description in RNAcentral is "partial 16S ribosomal RNA". It matches the Rfam family "Archaeal large subunit ribosomal RNA", at positions 1940 to 2154 of the family's 2987-position model. Lineage: Eukaryota; Metazoa; Arthropoda; Malacostraca; Decapoda; Cambaridae. The record is from RNAcentral.
UAAAGUCUGGCCUGCCCAUUGGGAACUAAAAGGCCGCGGUAUUAUGACCGUGCAAAGGUAGCAUAAUCAUUAGUUUUUUAAUUGAAGGCUAGAAUGAAUGGUUGAACAAGAAAUAAUCUGUCUUAAAUUAAUAUAUUGAAUUUAACUUUUAAGUGAAAAGGCUUAAAUAAUCUGGAG